CUUACCACUUUGUGAUUCAUGACUGGGGUGAAGUCGUAACAAGGUAACCGUAGGGGAACCUGCGGUUGGAUCACCUCCUUACCAAGAAGAUGUGUGUUAAGUGAAGUGCUCACACAGAUUGUCUGAUGAA
RNAcentral lists this ribosomal RNA (130 nucleotides) under Pectobacterium brasiliense. RNAcentral describes it as "Pectobacterium carotovorum subsp. brasiliense partial 16S ribosomal RNA". The stretch from base 1 to 81 matches the Rfam family "Bacterial small subunit ribosomal RNA", at positions 1453 to 1533 of the family's 1533-position model. The record is from RNAcentral. Lineage: Bacteria; Pseudomonadati; Pseudomonadota; Gammaproteobacteria; Enterobacterales; Pectobacteriaceae.